RNAcentral lists this ribosomal RNA (492 nucleotides) under uncultured bacterium. RNAcentral's name for it is "partial 16S ribosomal RNA". It matches the Rfam family "Bacterial small subunit ribosomal RNA", at positions 29 to 507 of the family's 1533-position model. The record is from RNAcentral.
AGUGAACGCUGGCGGUAGGCCUAACACAUGCAAGUCGAACGGCAGCACAGUAAGAGUUUGCUCUUACGGGUGGCGAGUGGCGGACGGGUGAGGAAUACAUCGGAAUCUACUUUUUCGUGGGGGAUAACGGAGGGAAACUUACGCUAAUACCGCAUAUGAUGUACGGGUGGAAGCAGGGGAUCUUCGGACCUUUGGCGAUUCAAUGAGCCGAUGUCGGAUUAGCUAGUUGGCGGGGUAAAGGCCCACCAAGGCGACGAUCCGUAGCUGGUCUGAGAGGAUGAUCGGCCACACUGGAACUGAGACACGGUCCAGACUCCUACGGGAGGCAGCAGUGGGGAAUAUUGGACAAUGGGCGCAAGCCUGAUCCAGCAAUGCCGCGUGAGUGAAGAAGGCCUUCGGGUUGUAAAGCCCUUUUGUUGGGAAAGAAAAACAGCAGGUUAAUACCCCGCUGUUCUGACGGUACCCAAACAGUAAGCACCGGCUAACUUCGUG